Camelina sativa (false flax) is the source of this 915-nucleotide non-coding RNA. The record is from RefSeq and is a predicted model, not a curated record. NCBI's taxonomy places the organism in Eukaryota, Viridiplantae, Streptophyta, Magnoliopsida, Brassicales, Brassicaceae.
AAGCUCUUUCACCGUUUCUCUCUUGUCUUCGAUGUUGUGUGAGAGUCUUCUCUCUGACUCAAAUCCAGAGCUCGUUGGGAGAAAAAGAUGAAGCCAGUGAUAGGCACUGUGGUGUCCAACAAAAUGCAAAAGUCGGUGGUUGUGGCCGUCGAUAGACUCUUUCACAACAAGCUCUACAAUCGUUAUGUCAAACGUACUUCCAAGUUCAUGGCUCACGAUGAAAAGGACUCCUGUAACAUCGGCGAUCGAGUGAAAUUGGAUCCUUCAAGGCCUUUGAGCAAGCAUAAGCAUUGGAUUGUUUCAGAAAUCAUAAAGAAAGCACGCAUUUAUUCUGCACAGGCUGCUGCUGCUGCUGCUGCUCUCAACUCCUCCUCCUCCUCAGCCUCCAUUGCUGAGAAGUCCCCUGUUUCUUCUUCCUAAGGUGAUUGAUUUAGUUAUUGCUUUUUGUGGUUAAUUGUAUCAGAUUUUGUUUCACUUGCUAGUUCAGAGUAGUGUUCUUUUGUACGUUUUAGCUAGUUUUUGUCGAACUGCGUGAGAAAUUGACUUUGAUGUGUUUCUGAAAUAAAUCAUCCACAUUUGAUAUUUGAUAGUUCUGUAUCUUACGGUCUAAGCUUGUUAGGCAUCUUGAGCUUCCAUUCUUAAGCUCUUGGAACCCAUUUUGUGCUGCUACAUUUUCUUUGUCAUACCCACUACGAAAUUAUAUAGCUUGUUUUGCAGUUCAGGAGCAAAACUCAGGCAGGCUCGAAAAAUGUGUUUCACACACUGGUAGCUGAUACUAGAGUAGCAUGCAUCAUAAACAGAGAAUAUGGUAACUGAGACCUGUAGUGUAGGUGAUGUUGAUCGGAAUUUAAAAUCCUGAUUAGCUGUGUAAUCAAUGAAUCUUAAGUUGAAGAUAUUCUAUUGAAGGUUGAUGAA